This is a long non-coding RNA of Nerophis ophidion (straightnose pipefish), 570 nucleotides long. RefSeq lists it as uncharacterized. The transcript has 3 exons. The record is from RefSeq and is a predicted model, not a curated record. Lineage: Eukaryota; Metazoa; Chordata; Actinopteri; Syngnathiformes; Syngnathidae.
CCUUUUGCCUGGAAAUCAUUUCCUCUCCGGCUGAGUGGAGGCGAAGUAAUACUCGAGGCCCGGCUGGCGUCCACCCACGACUUUCACAAGCUUCCCUAAAAAGGCGAGCUUAAAACUCCAAAAGUAACACCUGCUGGGGUUCAAGAUGCUCUAUCACAGUCUGGUCUUCACGUGGAUCUUUCUGAAGCUGCACCACAAGAUGAGCCGGUUUCACUUUAGCAGCUGUGUCACGUUGCCACCAGCCCGCCGCCAAGAACCCUGUCCACCCAACCAUCUUCCCUCCCAUAAUUGCCGUUAUCUGCCGAGAGAUUUGACAGCAGUCCGGCCGUGACCCCGGUGAGUCAUUUGUCCAUCUGGGUCGCUUUUGCCCGGCAACGCCACGCUAAUGAGCGUCCGCCGCAAGGAUGGAGAACCUCUUUUGAAUUGAAGGAACUCUUGUUGACCAGACAUGAAUGGCACUCUGUCGGGUCCAGACCUCUGCCAAGGGUGAUUGCCAACAAUUCACACCUGCAUACAAAUGACUUCAUUCUCCUCAACAUGCUGUGCAAAAAGCAUACAGAUACUGCAGCA